GGACCUUCGUUCAGCGGUAGAGCAUCUGCUUGGCAUGCAGAAGGUCCUGGGUUCAAUUUCUGACAGGAUCUCCA
Podarcis lilfordi (Lilford's wall lizard) is the source of this 74-nucleotide non-coding RNA. NCBI's taxonomy places the organism in Eukaryota, Metazoa, Chordata, Lepidosauria, Squamata, Lacertidae. The record is from the annotation of a GenBank genome assembly.